AUACGUAGGGGGCGAGCGUUGUCCGGAAUGACUGGGCGUAAAGGGCGUGUAGGCGGCGGUGUAAGUCUGGAGUGAAAGUCCCGCAUUCAAUGUGGGAAUUGCUAUGGAUACUGCAGUGCUAGAGUGCGGAAGAGGUAAGUGGAAUUCCCAGUGUAGCGGUGAAAUGCGUAGAGAUUGGGAGGAACACCAGUGGCGAAGGCGACUUACUGGGCCGUAACUGACGCUGAGGCGCGAAAGCGUGGGGAGCGAACAGGAUUAGAUACCCUGGUAGUCCACGCGGUAAACGAUGAAUGCUAGGUGUUGCGGGUAUCGACCCCUGCAGUGCCGGAGUAAACACAAUAAGCAUUCAGCCUGGGGAGUACGGCCGCAAGGUUGAAACUCAAAUGAAUUGACGGGG
This 397-nucleotide ribosomal RNA is filed under the name uncultured bacterium. RNAcentral describes it as "partial 16S ribosomal RNA". It matches the Rfam family "Bacterial small subunit ribosomal RNA", at positions 523 to 918 of the family's 1533-position model. The record is from RNAcentral.